This is a long non-coding RNA of Cheilinus undulatus (humphead wrasse), 1022 nucleotides long. RefSeq lists it as uncharacterized. The transcript has 7 exons. Lineage: Eukaryota; Metazoa; Chordata; Actinopteri; Labriformes; Labridae. The record is from RefSeq and is a predicted model, not a curated record.
UGUGUUUUUCGUACUGUAAGAUUUCAUUGAAACUCUCUCCGCUUUUUUCCUGUCACCUUGUGUUAUUUUUAGACUUAUUUUCCAGGAAAAUGGCCUGUAUUCGCAAUUUUUAGCUUCCCUUUAAACUGUUAUUACGGUAAUUGUCACCUCCCAUAAUUCUCAGCGAGUGUUACGAUGAGAACGGAGCACAGAGUCUGCUUCUCCGUCAGCUUCCUGUCUCUGCAGGCGUCAUGCAUAGAGCAGCUGAGGAUGGAAAAGGAACAAAUCCUGGAGAAAACCCUUCACAGGACUCCAAGGGGGCUGGAUUCAUGUGGUGGAGUUAAGUUUUUGUCUUCCAGAACCAGAUGUGUUUGGAUGGCUUUCAGGGCUCCCCUCAAGACCACCGGCCAUCAAACUUUAACAUCAUAGCAGAGAGCCCUGCUCAUAUCUCUAGUUCAGUGGGUAAUCACUGAGAAUCAAAGAAAGCUUGCCAUGAGCCUUCCUCCAAGGAGUUAUGUCUCAGUUUACCUGAGAGCCAUGAGGUUCAUAAUGUAAAUAUAUCAAAGAUUUGAAGGGUUGUCCUGUACCUUUAGUGUUCAGAUUUGUGAGUCUGAAUAAAAAGGCUGCACCCCAAUCAGGUCUGGUCUCCAACCAUGUACGGGUGAGAAGUCUUAGACAACAAGUCUGUGUCUGUGAGGCGUCAGGUAUCUGUGAAGGGAUGUGUACUGCAGUGAAAGUUGCUUUAAUCAUCCAGCACCAGAGGUUCCUUGUGUUUGGCUCACAUACAGUACAUCCAAGGAAUGGAGACAGACUGAGGAAAUCUCCAGACCAAGAUAUUUGAAGUCAAAGCUGUAACUCUCCUACACCCCAGCCAUCUCAAUUCCAUUUCAUCAACAUCAGGUUCAGCUCAUCACAAGUCCUCUGCUCAUCUCAUCCUGUAUCCCUCACCACCACCACCUAUGUCCAGACUCCAUAAGGGGGGUGCCCUGCCCUGCUGUUGACUUCACUAUCCCUUUGAUUCCAUGAAGACAUCACAAUUGAGU